UCAGGAGGUUUGCUUAGAAGCAGCAAUCCUUUAAAGAGUGCGUAAUAGCUCACUGAUCGAGUAAACCUGCGCCGAAAAUGAACGGGACUAAGUAAUUUGCCGAAACUGUGCGAUAUAUAAAUAUAUAUAUCGGUAGGGGAGCGUUCUGUUUUAGGUAGAAGUAUUAGCGUAAGCGGGUAUGGACGAAGCAGAAGUGAGAAUGUCGGCUUGAGUAACGAAAAUAUAGGUGAGAAUCCUAUACCCCGAAAACCCAAGGUUUCCUCCGGAAGGCUCGUCCGCGGAGGGUAAGUCAGGACCUAAGGCGAGACUGAAAAGUGUAGUCGAUGGACAACGGGUUAAUAUUCCCGUACCAUUUUUUAUUGAUAUCGAGGGACGGAGAAGGCUAAGCUAGCCGGAUAUUGGUUACCGGUUUAAACGUUCAAGAUGUUGAGAGGUGGAGAAAACACCUUGAGUUGAGGCGUGAAUACGAGAUGCUAAGGCGUCGAAGUAGUGUAUGUCAGACUUCCAAGAAAAGCUUGCACUGUCAUAAAUAAAAAAUGCCUGUACCAUAACCGACACAGGUGGGUAGGUAGAGUAUACUAAGGGGCGCGAGAUAACUCUCUCUAAGGAACUCGGCAAAAUAACUCCGUAACUUCGGAAGAAGGAGUGCCUUAUGCAAAUAAGGUUGCAAUAACAAGAUCCAAGCAACUGUUUAUCAAAAACACAGGUCUCCGCUAAGUCGUAAGACGAUGUAUGGGGGCUGACGCCUGCCCAGUGCCAGAAGGUUAAAGAAGUUGGUUAGCAUAAGCGAAGCUGAUAACUGAAGCCCUGGUGAACGGCGGCCGUAACUAUAACGGUCCUAAGGUAGCGAAAUUCCUUGUCGGGUAAGUUCCGACCCGCACGAAAGGCGUAAUGAUUUGGAUACUGUCUCGGAGAGAGGCUCGGUGAAAUAGACUUGUCUGUGAAGAUGCGGACUACCUGCACCUGGACAGAAAGACCCUAUGAAGCUUUACUGUAACUUGAAAUUGAAAUUGGACUUUAUUCGCGCAGCAUAGGUGGGAGGCGUUGAAAAUAUUCUUGCGGGAGUAUUUGAGCUAUCAGUGAGAUACCACUCUUAUAAUGUUAGAUUUCUAACUUUGAACCAUUAUCUGGUCAAAGAACAGUUUCAGGCGGGCAGUUUGACUGGGGCGGUCGCCUCCCAAAUGGUAACGGAGGCGUACAAAGGUUUCCUCUGAACGUGUAGAAAUCGUAUCUAGAGUGUAAAGGCAUAAGGAAGCUUGACUGUGAGACCUACAAGUCGAGCAGGGACGAAAGUCGGUCUUAGUGAUCUGACGGUACUGAGUGGAAAGGCCGUCACUCAACGGAUAAAAGUUACUCUAGGGAUAACAGGCUGAUCUCCCCCAAGAGUUCA
Molecule: ribosomal RNA, 1390 nt
Filed under: marine metagenome
Description: bacterial LSU rRNA
Rfam family: Bacterial large subunit ribosomal RNA
Source: RNAcentral